AACGCAAAUUGCACUCUCUGGUAUUCCAGAGAGUAUGCCUGUUUGAGGGUCAGUGUAAUAAAAACAUCGUAGUUGUUACCACCUUUCGUGGUGACGCUUCGGAAUUGAGUCGUCUUUACCCUUUCGGGUUAAGUGACUUUAAAUUUUUCGUACGAAUUCGAAACGUAUUUAAUGUAUUUUUAUGUACGUUUAACGAAGUCGGUUAUUAGGUGCGGUCAUUUCUAUGAUAAUUCGCAUCUAUAAAUUUUUCUUUUUUUUUUGACCUCAAAUCAGGUAAGAGUACCCGCUGAACUUAA
Molecule: unclassified non-coding RNA, 296 nt
Filed under: uncultured Glomerales
Lineage: Eukaryota; Fungi; Glomeromycota; Glomeromycetes; Glomerales; Glomeraceae
Description: sequence contains 5.8S rRNA gene, ITS2, 28S rRNA gene
Rfam family: 5.8S ribosomal RNA (bases 1-52)
Source: RNAcentral